This 507-nucleotide ribosomal RNA is filed under the name Pichia manshurica. RNAcentral describes it as "eukaryotic LSU rRNA". It matches the Rfam family "Eukaryotic large subunit ribosomal RNA", at positions 86 to 607 of the family's 3401-position model. Lineage: Eukaryota; Fungi; Ascomycota; Pichiomycetes; Pichiales; Pichiaceae. The record is from RNAcentral.
GCGGCGAGUGAAGCGGCAAGAGCUCAGAUUUGAAAUCGUGUUUCGGCACGAGUUGUAGAGUGUAGGCGGGAGUCUCUGUGGAGCGCGGUGUCCAAGUCCCUUGGAACAGGGUGCCUGAGAGGGUGAGAGCCCCGUAGGGUGCUGCGCGAAGCUUUUGAGGCCCUGCUGACGAGUCGAGUUGUUUGGGAAUGCAGCUCCAAGCGGGUGGUAAAUUCCAUCUAAGGCUAAAUAUUGGCGAGAGACCGAUAGCGAACAAGUACUGUGAAGGAAAGAUGAAAAGCACUUUGAAAAGAGAGUGAAACAGCACGUGAAAUUGUUGAAAGGGAAGGGUAUUGGGCUCGACAUGGGGGGUGCGCACCGCUGUCUCUUGUAGGCGGCGCUCUGGGCGCCCUCUGGGCCAGCAUCGGUUCCUGCUGCGGGAGAAGGGGCUCCGGAAAGUGGCUCUUCGGAGUGUUAUAGCCGGGGCCAGAUGCCGCGUGUGGGGACCGAGGACUGCGGCUUCUGUCU